Molecule: long non-coding RNA, 1466 nt
Organism: Gymnodraco acuticeps
Lineage: Eukaryota; Metazoa; Chordata; Actinopteri; Perciformes; Bathydraconidae
Exons: 2
Source: RefSeq, a predicted model, not a curated record
CCGUCCUAUAGGUAAAGUAGGUUAAUGUAUUAUAUUAUUGAGGGAGAAUUUGUCCGGGGCUAAAGAAAAAACAUAAAGCCCCGGAUGCCUACCCCAGGCGACGCCCCUGCUUUAGACCCUUUAUCAGGACUUGCUGCAGGUAGCAGAUCCUGAAGUAAAAGUACAAACACCACACUGUGAAAAUACUCCAUUACAAGUUAAAGUACUGCAUUCAUAUCUUAUCGAAGUAAAAGUAUGUAAGUAUUAUUAGACACAUGUACUUUAUUAUAAUAAUUAAAAUGUAUUUCGGAAGAGCAAACCUACCAAAAUAAAUAUAUUUAUAAAAAUACAUACAUUGAAUAAUAUGCCAUUUAAUGUACUGAUUUUAAAUAUGACCCAUGCAUGUGGGCACUAGGAGUGGAGUGCACCAGCUGGGCGUAAAAAAGUAGGGCUUAACUCUAACGUCGGGCUUAGCUACAUCGACUUCGUGAUUCGAAUUUACACCGAGUGCACCAAGCCUGACUAGUCUCGGGCGUAGCUGCGCCUGGUCUUAAGAUGCGCGUCCACGUGAAUACACGCGAAACAGUAAUUGUUGCCAAGCAACACACGUCUAUAUAAUUUAACACUCGAACUCCUCCAUUCAGAGCAAGCUACGAAUUGAAUAAAGAAUAUGGAUAACGGAAAGAAGAGAAAAACCAAUUUUACUGAUAGAGAGAUUAGAACAUUAAUUGAAAUAUAUGCAGAGCAUAAAAACUCGCUAACUGCCAAAUUUAAUAAUACCAUGACAAACCAACACAAACUCACAGCCUGGAAGUCAAUCACUGGUGCGAUAAAUGACUUGGGUGAUGGAGGGAUACGGACGGUGGAAGAGUGUAGGAAAAAGUGGAAGGACCUACUAUCCAGAGCCAAAAAGGAUGCAUCGGUUCUCAAAAACCCUCCGACCGGCGGAGGCCCUGCUCCAAAAACCUCUCCAUACAGCGAAAUCAUUAUUGCUAUUUUUGAAGAGGAUUCCCCCACUUUCACUGGGUUGAAUGGGAUCAACAGCUAAGAGCCCUCAACCUCAACAUUUGAAGAGGUUGACGCAGACGUGUCAGCUGUCACUAGUGACUCAGAGGACCGCAGAGAAGAGGGAAGUCCCACACCCGCAGCGUCAGCGAUGACUCAAGGGGAAUCCCAAAUGGCCACACCCCGAAAGAGAAAGAGGGAUUUAUCAGAGCUACAGCGGGAACUGACGGAGAAAGAAAUCGUUCGUGUGGAGGUGGAGACCGUAAAAUUGAGAGCGGAAUACGAACAAAUUGAGAUGGAGAAAUUGAGACUCCAAAUAAUAAUUCUUAAGAAUCAGCUACUAAUCACUGAAGAAGACAAUGUGUUCACCGUUCUGUAAUCAUGUUGUACUUGUUUUUUAUCUCAAUUUCAUGUUAAUAGUUCUCCAAAAUGUUGUUAUUUAAUGUUCUUGUGUUCUUUGAAUAAAAUAGGCCUAGUGAAAA